Molecule: RNA transcript, 2619 nt
Organism: Schistocerca cancellata (South American locust)
Lineage: Eukaryota; Metazoa; Arthropoda; Insecta; Orthoptera; Acrididae
Gene: sicily
Gene name: NADH dehydrogenase (ubiquinone) complex I, assembly factor 6
Exons: 7
Source: RefSeq, a predicted model, not a curated record
UUUUAUAAUUGGCGCGAUGAAGGAAAAUAUAAUUUUCUUCGGCUCAGAAGUAAUAUUUCUCAUCGUGGCACAAUACUUGAGCAUCUCGACGGCUUUUCCAGCUAUUUCAUCCGAUAGUUUCGAAUGCCUAGGGGCUACAUGAAGCUCAAAACGCGAGAACUCGGGACCCAGUGUAAUGCAAGUACGCUGCAGCGUGGUACAAUACGCAUGUUGAUCGUUGCAAUUGGGGAGAAAGGGGGAACCGGGUGUGCAGAGGCGGCGAGCUCAAAAGCUCAAAUGAAGUGCUUCGGGAGUUUACGCAGAACUUUUGGUUAUGCAGUGCCACGCAGCGAAGUAUGUAAGAAGUCAUUAAUGAAAUAUAGUACUUCCAAAGAAACUUCUUCAGGGUAUUGUGUGAAUAUGGUUAAAAACUUCGACUACGAGAAUUUCUUGUGUACGUUACUCCUCCCUAACGAUAUUCGGACUUCUGCUUUUGCAAUCCGUGCAUUUAACAUCGAGACUGCAAGAGUUCAGGAUAGCGUGAGUGAUCCACGUAUUGGUCAAAUGAGGCUGAAAUUCUGGGAAGAAACCAUUGAUAACAUUUACAAUGGGCAUGUGCCAAAGCAACCAGUUGCUAGUGAACUUUAUCGUGCUAUCAAGAGGCAUACAUUAUCUAAAAGGCACCUGAAACGGCUCAUAUUGGCACGCUCCAACCAUUUUUCUACUUCAUUUCUGAGUCUUGAUGAAAUGGAGUCAUAUGCAGAAGAAUCAACAUCUCCAGUAUACUAUAUGCUUCUGGAAGCACUGGGCAUUAAAAACAUUCAUGCUGAUCAUGCUGCUAGUCACUUAGGAAAAGCACAGGGUCUUACCAACAUGGUUCGUUCAGUACCUCAUUGUGCUGAGAGAAGACUAGCACCACCAUUACCACAAGAUGUUAUGAUGGAGAAAGGUGUGUCUCAGGAAGAGAUUAUCCGUGGAAGCAGAUCAGACAACACUCGUGAUGUAAUCUUCACAGUAGCUGCCAGAGCCUCACAACAUCUCGAAAAGGCUCGUUCUAUUAAAACCAAUCUUCCAGAACCUGCCUUCAGGAUAUUUUUGCCUGGUGUACCUGUUGGUCAAUACCUAGAGAAAUUGAGGCUACUUCAUUUUGAUGUAUUUGAUGCCAAAUUGCAGAGGAGAAAUAGUCUCCUUCCGCUUGCCUUGUACUGGAACAGAUUCAGAAUGAAGUUCUGAAAAGUGAGACAUCAUUUUAGUUCAUAAACACUUGCUGAUGUUUAGCUGCCACCACACGUCACAUAUGAGCAGCCUUCAAAUGCUGGUGCUCCAAGCACACGUUGUUUAGUGGAGACAACCUUGCAAAGGAGCUGGAACCCUUACAGUGGCUGCAUCGCACAUGACUGAAGAAAUAUGGGAGGAAUUUCAUUGGCAGGAGAGGGACGAAGCAGAUGAAGAUUUAGUAGGUAUGGAUAUAAAUGAGGCUCACGAGGAGAAGAGUGAUCAUACUUCGGACACCGAACAAGAACAAAGUGAAUCCGAUGUUGAGUGUCUGGAGGGUAGAUUUUUUGUAUGCAAAGCUAAGUCUAUAAAAUGGAAAAAGCAAAACCUGGCCAGAGCCUCAGAACUUGGAAACAUAUCAUAACCCAUUACCUGGAAGAAAGGCAGUACUUCAAAAGUGUAGUGUCUGUCAUCAAUUCAUUUUCUAUUUUAUUUGAUGAACGUAUAGUGACCUCAGUUGUAAAUUGCACAAUGAUGUACAUAAAGUCGGUAAAAAAUAAACAUUUCAGAGAGUGGGAUGCCAAACAUAUGAAGAGAGAAGACUUACUAGUAUUUUUGGGGCUACUCUAUUUGGCUGGGCUUCACAAAGCCACUCAUGUGAAUUAUGAGGAUUUAUGGGAAGACAUAAAAAUCUUUUGUCUCACAGUUUCAUGCAAAUGAUUUUUGUUUUUACUUAGAGUCAUAAGAUUUGAUGACAUUCACACCUUUAAAACUAGAAGAAAACAUUAUAAAUUAGCACCUGUGAGGGAAUUUCCCACUGCGAUAAAUAAUAAUUGUAAAAAUGCGUUCAGCUCAAGUGAAUAUUGUACAAUUGAAGAAUAGCUUAUACUUUUAGACAUUAUUUACUGUAAAAACACAAAAGGUGUGAAAUAAAGGUUUUUGCACUAAUAGAUGCUGGAAUGAAUUAUUUCAUCAACUUUUAAAUAUAUGCAAACACACAACUGAAUGAACUGUUUCGUCAAGACAGUGCUGUAUUAUCAGUUGUGAACAGGUUGACUGAACAUGGUGCAGGUACCAACAGGAAUAUAACUUGUGACAAUAUUAGUUACCAACUAGCUCAGCUUCUCCUUACAAGAACGUUAACAGUUGUGGGUAUCUUAUGAAAAAGUAAGCAUGAAAUUCCAAGAGAAUUUCAGCCUAGUAAGUAUAAAACAAAGUAUAGCUGUGUUUCUGGAUUCACUAAAGAUGUUACUUUAGUAUCGUACAUUACUGCCAAAAAUAAGACGGUAAUAGUAUUAUCAACAAUGUAUCAUGAUGAUGCCAUUGACACAUCAACUGAUGUUAAAGUGAAGUCUAAAAUAAUCACCUUAUAUAAUGGUACCAAAGGUGGGGUCGAUACAUGCGAUCAGUUAUGGACAAAUUUUA